RNAcentral lists this transfer RNA (72 nucleotides) under Phrynosoma platyrhinos (Desert horned lizard). RNAcentral describes it as "tRNA-OTHER". The record is from RNAcentral. Lineage: Eukaryota; Metazoa; Chordata; Lepidosauria; Squamata; Phrynosomatidae.
GCAAGUGUGGUGUAGUGGUUUGAGCAUUGAACUAUAACUUUGGAGACCAGGGUUCAAAUCCCAGCAUGGCCA